This 424-nucleotide ribosomal RNA is filed under the name Gemmatimonadota bacterium. Its description in RNAcentral is "Gemmatimonadetes bacterium partial 16S ribosomal RNA". It matches the Rfam family "Bacterial small subunit ribosomal RNA", at positions 355 to 776 of the family's 1533-position model. The record is from RNAcentral. Lineage: Bacteria; Pseudomonadati; Gemmatimonadota.
UGAGGAAUAUUGGACAAUGGAGGAGACUCUGAUCCAGCCAUGCCGCGUGCAGGAAGAAUGCCCUAUGGGUAGUAAACUGCUUUUAUACGGGAAGAAAAAGAGCUACGUGUAGCUUACUGACGGUACCGUAAGAAUAAGGACCGGCUAACUCCGUGCCAGCAGCCGCGGUAAUACGGAGGGUCCGAGCGUUAUCCGGAAUCAUUGGGUUUAAAGGGUCCGUAGGCGGGCUAAUAAGUCAGUGGUGAAAUGCAGGGGCUCAACUCCGGCACUGCCAUUGAUACUGUUAGUCUUGAAUUAUUGUGAAGUGGUUAGAAUAUGUAGUGUAGCGGUGAAAUGCUUAGAUAUUACAUAGAAUACCGAUUGCGAAGGCAGAUCACUAACAAUAUAUUGACGCUGAUGGACGAAAGCGUGGGUAGCGAACAGG